GAGUUUGAUCUUGGCUCAGAACGAACGCUGGCGGCAGGCUUAACACAUGCAAGUCGAGCGCUUAUUUUUAAUAGGAGCGGCAGACGGGUGAGUAACGCGUGGGAAUCUACCUUUUUCUACGGGAUAACGCACGGAAACGUGUGCUAAUACCGUAUACGCCCUGAGAAGGGGAAAGAUUUAUUGGAGAGAGAUGAGCCCGCGUUAGAUUAGCUAGUUGGUGGGGUAAAUGCCUACCAAGGCUACGAUCUAUAGCUGGUCUGAGAGGACGAUCAGCCACACUGGGACUGAGACACGGCCCCAGACUCCUACGGGAGGCAGCAGUGGGGAAUAUUGGACAAUGGGGGCAACCCUGAUCCAGCCAUGCCGCGUGAGUGAAGAAGGCCUUAGGGUUGUAAAGCUCUUUCGCCGGAGAAGAUAAAUGACGGUAUCCGGAGAAGAAGUCCCGGCUAACUUCGUGCCAG
RNAcentral lists this ribosomal RNA (461 nucleotides) under uncultured bacterium. RNAcentral's name for it is "bacterial SSU rRNA". It matches the Rfam family "Bacterial small subunit ribosomal RNA", at positions 9 to 511 of the family's 1533-position model. The record is from RNAcentral.